GUAGAUAGGUAUUUACUUGUUCUUGUUAGUAUGUUGUCUUCGAGAAAAUCCUUAACGCUAAUUUUGGAUUUCCUUUCUUUUAAAAAUGCAACUAGUCAGCAGCAAAAAUUAAAAUAAAAGGCCGAAUCCACAGAAUUUUUUGGCGAAAAUUUUGAGGAAUAUCCACAAUGCAUCGAUAUUUAGAUGUUGUCAAUUGUACGCAAAAGAAAUAUCGAUAUGGGAAACUAUCGCAACUGAAAAUACCAGGAAAUACCUAUAGAUGGCGCUGCUGAGCUGUUAUCGGAGGUUUGUUGUCGAUUAUUUGUAUAUUCUGGUAACACUAAUUAUCAGAAAACACCGAUGUUUCCAUCUCUACUGUGGAAUCACAUCUCCGCCGCUGAACGCUGAAGACUGUAUUUUUUUUCGAGUGCAAUUCGGCCAAUAAGAAAAUUAUUAAAUACCCAAAUACUCCCCCAAUAAGAUAAUAAAUAAAAAGCACUGGGGCGAGGGUUAGAGAAAGGUGUCGCGUAUGUGAACGAGUGUAUAUGUGUGACGUUUACAGAAACAAAAAAAUAAAUAAAAGUUCGGUGGCGUCUAAAUUUUUGAGUUAAAUUAACCGUACAUAUACAUGUACAUUAAUGGAUCGUUGGCGAUAGGAAUAUUGGCCAAGCUGAUCUGAUCCGCAGAAUGCGUUCUGAUUGAAUACACCAGCCAGCCACCCAACUCCCCAAAAAUAAAAAAAAAAAGUACAACAACUUGAGAAAAAAAAGGGCAACGGCAAUUUGUUGCUGCCGCUGCGACAGCGACAGCGAUAACAACAAAAGAAAGCCCCGCCCCCCACGCCACCAAAGCAACGGUUCAUUCACAGUGGCAGCAGCACAGUAGAAGAAGAGGAAGAGAUUCUUGACCUGUGACCUCCAACUAUGUGGAUCAUAAUGUGGCGGUUUUAGAUAAUAAA
Non-coding RNA from Drosophila bipectinata, 937 nucleotides. NCBI's taxonomy places the organism in Eukaryota, Metazoa, Arthropoda, Insecta, Diptera, Drosophilidae. The record is from RefSeq and is a predicted model, not a curated record.